Long non-coding RNA from Vicia villosa (hairy vetch), 1500 nucleotides. RefSeq lists it as uncharacterized. The record is from RefSeq and is a predicted model, not a curated record. Lineage: Eukaryota; Viridiplantae; Streptophyta; Magnoliopsida; Fabales; Fabaceae. The transcript has 4 exons.
CAAUACUAGUGCCCAGCCAUGAUCAGUAACAUUUAAAAAUUAUGCAUUUCUCUUAGUUUGUUUGACCAUAAUAAUUAGAAUAGUCAAAUCGCCACCUUGCAAAGUACACCACAAUUUUCCCAACUUUGUGGCACUGAAGACUUUAGAAUCACUACCUUAACCUUACCUUUAAGAGAAAUGAUAAUUUGACACAUUUAUAGGGAGUUAGUAUUUUAAUUCAAAUAACACAGUUCUAUUUUUAAUCUUUCAGAAUUUUACCACAAUGAGAUUAUAACACAUUGGCUGUACCAAUAUAAUUAGCGCCAAGAAUCCAAUAAGUACACUACUGAACCAACAUUAAAGUUGAGAGGGGAGUGCCAGUUAGAUUUACCAAUAUAAUCUCUCCUAGCUUAAACCAGUUCUCGGGAUUCAAAUCCGAGCCUAAAAAUGCAGUAAUGUUACAAAUUUUGGGGAAAAUUUGAAUCCGAAUUCCCUGCCUGCGAGGCGGGAAAGGUAUGUGCCUUUCAAGCAACCACCUUGUCCAUUCGAUAAAUCGUGUGCUCCCUCCAAAAUAAGCCAUAUGUCAGACUUCUUUAGAGUUAAAAUAAAAACAGACAAACCCAAACUAAAACAUUGUGGUAUCGCACCGCCAACACACUACUACACUUCGCCGACCUGCAACGUGCUUCGUCUAGAAAAAUUGCUAUAUUGUUAGAUUGUGGUGGGACAAAACAAAAAGCAUACUAGAUGCAGAAGGAAACAAAAUUGCUCCCAAACGAUCUGAAAAUUUGCUCCCAAUAAAUGCAGAAUUAACUAUUUCUACAAAAGGAACAUGCAUCAAUGUCAAAUCAAAUGGAACAGGUGUCACCGUAUGCGGCAUGGCGCGGUACCGGCAGAGACAUGAAAGUAAAGGAAGGAAUGAAUUAUUGAAGCAAGCUAUUUUAUUCUGGAGUCAUAUCAGCCAUGUGAUAGUGUUGAGAUUUUGAAGUAAGCUCUUUUAAACAACAAAGUUGUUACGUAUUAUUACCACAGUUUGAUUCUUGACGAGGGAAAUACAGAGAAAUCACACGGGAUGGUUGUAGUUGCAUUGUAAGCAACAUAUGAAUACUUCAAAGAAAGCAAUAAGUUAUGUGAGGCAUUCAAUGCGGCUCCUCCAUUUUUAAGAGAAAAGACACGUGUUUCAAGAACUUGUGAUCCUUACUUAUUUUCUACAAGAGCCUUUAACAAUUUUUUGAAGAGCGUUCAUCUGUUACAAUUCGUCAAAAAAUUAUUAUAUUAUUGUCUUAGUAGAAAAUUAUGAAGCCAGUGAAAACUUGCCCAGACUUCAUAAUUUUUCUAGCUUCGCCACUGAGAAUAACCAAAUAUUUGUAGUUAAGAAAAAUACACAUAAGACUCAUUUCAAUUUAUAUGAGCAGUGGAAGUGUCUAAUGACGUUGUUUUAGAUUUGGUUUGGAAAGUGGAAGUGCCUUUCAAAAUUAAGGCGUUUGUAUGGAGACUUUGGUUUGGAAAGUGGAAGUGCCU